This 301-nucleotide ribosomal RNA is filed under the name uncultured bacterium. RNAcentral's name for it is "partial 16S ribosomal RNA". It matches the Rfam family "Bacterial small subunit ribosomal RNA", at positions 509 to 807 of the family's 1533-position model. The record is from RNAcentral.
CAGCAGCCGCGGGAAUACGAAGGGUGCAAGCGUUACUCGGAAUUACUGGGCGUAAAGCGUGCGUAGGCGGUGGUUUAAGUCCGUUGUGAAAGCCCUGGGCUCAACCUGGGAACUGCAGUGGAUACUGGACCACUAGAGUGUGGUAGAGGAUAGUGGAAUUUCCGGUGUAGCAGUGAAAUGCGUAGAGAUCGGAAGGAACAUCUGUGGCGAAGGCGACUAUCUGGGCCAACACUGACACUGAGGCACGAAAGCGUGGGGAGCAAACAGGAUUAGAUACCCCUGUAGUCCCUGUCUCUUAUAC